ACUGCGAAUGGCUCAUUAUAUAAGUUAUCGUUUAUUUGAUAGUACCUUACUACUUGGAUAACCGUGGUAAUUCUAGAGCUAAUACAUGCUGAAAACCCCAACUUCGGAAGGGAUGUAUUUAUUAGAUUAAAAACCAAUGCCCUCUGGGCUCCUUGGUGAUUCAUAAUAACUUUUCGAAUCGCACGGCCUUGCGCCGGCGAUGGUUCAUUCAAAUUUCUUCCCUAUCAACUUUCGAUGUUUGGGUAUUGGCCAAACAUGGUUGCAACGGGUAACGGAGGGUUAGGGCUCGACCCCGGAGAAGGAGCCUGAGAAACGGCUACUACAUCCAAGGAAGGCAGCAGGCGCGCAAAUUACCCAAUCCCGAUUCGGGGAGGUAGUGACAAUAAAUACUGAUACAGGGCUCUUUUGGGUCUUGUAAUUGGAAUGAGUACAAUUUAAAUCUCUUAACGAGGAACAAUUGGAGGGCAAGUCUGGUGCCAGCAGCCGCGGUAAUUCCAGCUCCAAUAGCGUAUAUUAAAGUUGUUGUGGUUAAAAAGCUCGUAGUUGAACCUUGGGCCUGGCUGGCCGGUCCGCCUCACCGCGUGUACUGGUCCGGCCGGGCCUUUCCCUCUGUGGAACCACAUGCCCUUCACUGGGUGUGGCGGGGAAACAGGACUUUUACUUUGAAAAAAUUAGAGUGCUCCAGGCAGGCCUAUGCUCGAAUACAUUAGCAUGGAAUAAUAAAAUAGGACGCGUGGUUCUAUUUUGUUGGUUUCUAGGACCGCCGUAAUGAUUAAUAGGGACAGUCGGGGGCAUCAGUAUUCAAUUGUCAGAGGUGAAAUUCUUGGAUUUAUUGAAGACUAACUACUGCGAAAGCAUUUGCCAAGGAUGUUUUCAUUAAUCAGGAACGAAAGUUAGGGGAUCGAAGACGAUCAGAUACCGUCGUAGUCUUAACCAUAAACUAUGCCGACUAGGGAUCGGACGAUGUUAUUUUUUGACGCGUUCGGCACC
RNAcentral lists this ribosomal RNA (990 nucleotides) under Beauveria caledonica. RNAcentral's name for it is "SSU rRNA". It matches the Rfam family "Eukaryotic small subunit ribosomal RNA", at positions 86 to 1087 of the family's 1831-position model. The record is from RNAcentral. Lineage: Eukaryota; Fungi; Ascomycota; Sordariomycetes; Hypocreales; Cordycipitaceae.